This is a long non-coding RNA of Bombus pascuorum, 333 nucleotides long. RefSeq lists it as uncharacterized. Lineage: Eukaryota; Metazoa; Arthropoda; Insecta; Hymenoptera; Apidae. The transcript has 2 exons. The record is from RefSeq and is a predicted model, not a curated record.
UGUAACGUGACUUUAUCACCAGUUGCUUUUCGAAAACAUCGUAGAUCACCCGCGUUUCGGUUACUAUGCGUUUACAACCAUAAGGCAUAAGGUAUAGCAGUUAAAAUAUAUGGGGUGAUCGAAUACAUUUAGCGCUCUCGUAUUUAUAUCGAAGUCUUUAUAUCGAACAAUAUAUGCAUACAAAAGUUAAAAGUGUCAAGAGAUAUGAAACAAUCACUUCAAAACAUAUGAUACAAACGAUAAAAGGGUACUGGUAGAUUAACAAGAACAGAAUAAAAAAGUUAGCAGUUUCAUGAAAUUGCACAGAAACUGUUCUCAUCAAAAGGAACGCUC